AAGGGGAGCAAUCCCUGAGUAGAGUGGCAAACGGGUGAGUAACACGUGGGUGACCUGCCUCAGAGUGGGGGAUAACGUCCCGAAAGGGACGCUAAUACCGCAUAACAUCCUGCCUUUGGAAAGGCGGAGAUCAAAGCCGGGGAUCGCAAGACCUGGCGCUUGGAGAGGGGCCCGCGUCUGAUUAGCUAGUUGGUAGGGUAAUGGCCUACCAAGGCAACGAUCAGUAUCCGGCCUGAGAGGGCGGACGGACACACUGGGACUGAGACACGGCCCAGACUCCUACGGGAGGCAGCAGUGGGGAAUUGUUCGCAAUGGGCGCAAGCCUGACGACGCAACGCCGCGUGGAGGAUGAAGAUCUUCGGG
RNAcentral lists this ribosomal RNA (363 nucleotides) under uncultured bacterium. RNAcentral describes it as "bacterial SSU rRNA". It matches the Rfam family "Bacterial small subunit ribosomal RNA", at positions 72 to 422 of the family's 1533-position model. The record is from RNAcentral.